Molecule: ribosomal RNA, 268 nt
Filed under: uncultured soil bacterium
Lineage: Bacteria
Description: partial 16S ribosomal RNA
Rfam family: Bacterial small subunit ribosomal RNA
Source: RNAcentral
AGAAUCAACGCCGGCGGCGUGCCUCACACAUGCAAGUCGAACGCGAAAGUGGAGCAAUCCAUUAGUAGAGUGGCAAACGGGUGAGUAACACGUGGGCGACCUACCUCAGAGUGGGGGAUAACCUUCCGAAAGGAGGGCUAAUACCGCAUGACAUCCCGUGUUUGGAUACACGGAGAUCAAAGCCGGGGAUCGCAAGACCUGGCGCUUGGAGAGGGGCCCGCGUCCGAUUAGCUAGUUGGUGAGGUAACGGCUCACCAAGGCUCCGAUC